This 410-nucleotide ribosomal RNA is filed under the name uncultured microorganism. RNAcentral's name for it is "bacterial SSU rRNA". It matches the Rfam family "Bacterial small subunit ribosomal RNA", at positions 509 to 917 of the family's 1533-position model. The record is from RNAcentral.
CAGCCGCCGCGGUAAUACGUAGGGGGCGAGCGUUGUCCGGAAUUAUUGGGCGUAAAGCGCGCGCAGGCGGUCCUUUAAGUCUGAUGUGAAAGCCCACGGCUCAACCGUGGAGGGUCAUUGGAAACUGGGGGACUUGAGUGCAGGAGAGGAGAGCGGAAUUCCACGUGUAGCGGUGAAAUGCGUAGAGAUGUGGAGGAACACCAGUGGCGAAGGCGGCUCUCUGGCCUGUAACUGACGCUGAGGCGCGAAAGCGUGGGAAGCAAACAGGAUUAGAUACCCUGGUAGUCCACGCCGUAAACGAUGAGUGCUAAGUGUUAGAGGGGUCACACCCUUUAGUGCUGCAGCUAACGCGAUAAGCACUCCGCCUGGGGAGUACGGCCGCAAGGCUGCAACUUAAAGGAAUUGGCGGG